GUUUUGAAUACUUUAUUUUUCAACACAGAGGGAAAAAAAAAUAAAUGUUGUCACACCUAAAACCCCUGUCCAUCCAUCCACUCUGUGUGUGUGUAUGUGUGUGUGUGUGUGUGUGUGUGUGUGUGUGUGUGUGAUUUCCAGUGUCUCUCACUUUCAUUGUUGUAUUUUCAUCGGUCCAGACGGACGAAUCAUUUUCCUCUCCUCCUACUCCUCGUAAUCUUGCCAUCAUCAUCGUCAUCCCUUGCUUUUUUUUUUUUCAAGAGAGUUUUAGUGAGUGCCAGUAGAGUUGUUGACCAAAGGCUGUGCAGCACAAAACACAUCAAUUAAUGCACCAUUACAAGGUGUGUGUGUGUGUGUGUGUGUGUGUGUGUGUGUGUGUGUGUAUGUGUGUGUAAGGCCCAAAUCUAAUUAUUCUCUGGCUUUCCUCAUAGCAGGGACAGUCCGCUGGAGAGACUGCUGGUGGCUGAAGGUUUUCACUGCUGCAAUCUCUCUCUCUUUCUCUCUCUCUCCUUCUUGUUCUCUGACUUUCUCUCUUUUUAUCUCUCUCCCUCUUUUUCUUUACAUCUCUCUUUUUAUUUCCAUCCUGUCUGCUCUCUCAUCCUUCCCUGCAUCCUGCCUCACCCCUCCUUUCUCUCUCCAUCUUUCUCUUCCUCCUCCUCCUUCGUCCACCCCCGUCCAUCUCUACCUCCGUAUCCCACUCGCUCCUCUCUAUCACUCUCUCACAGAUGCCACAUCACACCACACGCUCUCCCUCUCUCUAUCUUGCUCUCUCUCUCCCUCUCUCUCCUAUCCCUGUGCUCUCUGCUCUCUCAUUCGCUCCACUGGCUAGUCGCCGGCUGUUAGUUCAUUUGCCGCGGCAGAGCAACAACUGGCUUCUUUCAGAGCUGGGAGCAGAGAGGGGAAGGCGAGAGUGACAGUAAGAGUGGAAGAAGAAAAAGUGGAGGAGGACGAGAAGGAGAAGAAGAGGAGAAAAGGAGGAGGAGGAAGAGAUCUUUUGUUAGGCAUCCAUCCCUCCCCUCAUCCCUCACUGGCAGCAGCAGCAUCAGCACCACUGCCUCCACCACAGCCGCUCCUGCUGCUGGAUCCUCCGUCUCCUGCCGGGAUCUGCCUCCUCCUUCUCCUCAGGGAGCUCCUCCUGAAACGCGGAGGGGGAGGGAGAUCACCACCUCCCAGCUUGCCGUGGACCCUCGGCAAGACAUCAGGAGAAAAGAAGGGAGAAGGAAGGGGAGGGAAUUUUAGAAGAGGCCAUCAGGAGAGCAGAGGAGAGGCAACACCCUGGUUUACAGGAGAGCAAAGAAGAACACGAAAAAAAAGAGGGAGCAGUGGAGAGAGCAAGGAAACCAAAUCUCAUCACAGGAUGAGGACCUCUAGAAGGCCCCAGCCCAGAAAGCACGUGAGUCACUUGGAGAGACACCAAAACCUCACUGCACCUACUUUGAAGAGGAAGUCGACCUCAGAUGAAGGCCCAUACAAGCACGUAAACUGUGGGAAACCAAGCUAGAGUCCUACCUGGCCUGCCCGGAUGAUACAUGGAUGUCCUGAAAUCCUUCCCAGCAGUCUGCAACGUGUCACUGAAGCUCAACACACCUCUACCUGCCUCAGCUGCCUGCGAGAGGCUUUUCAGCACUGCAGGACUGAUUUUCAGACCCAAAAGUACAUGCCUGGAUUCAAAGAACUUUGAGAACCAGAUCGGCUAAAUAAACAAUUUUGGGAUUCCUGUAGAGAUGAGUGAAUAUCUCACAAAAAAAAACCAACUUGAUUAAACUAGUUUCCAUGUUGAUCAUAAUGUUUUAAGUUCUGUUGCUGAAAUGGAAAACUGAUUUGCACAUUGGCGUAAAUUAAGCCUGUCAAAACAAAAGUUUUUCUAUAUAAAGUGUUAAAAGAUACAAAUUCUGUUAAAAGUAAUAUGUUAAGUAUAGUAUUGAGAGUACCAAAGCUGUUAUAAAGCUGAAGUAUCCAGGUGCUCAUGGAGGACCUCUGGUCAAUUCAGUCUUGAUUAUUCUGUCUGAAAUUUAACUUGCAGCAAACAGACCAGUGAUUUAUUUAUUUUUCUCUGUACCAGAGCUGUGCAGGUUGUGAAUAAAGGAAAAAAAUGUUGUGUGCCAAGAACUUUUCGUUUUGUUGAGUUAUCAAAAGAGGUAUUGUGUAUUAUUGACGGCAAAAAUUAUUUUUUACUUUUUACUUUUGUACUUUUCAGAGCCUGUACUUUUUUACUUUUACUUGAGUAAAGGAGCUGAAUCAGUACUUCUACUUUUACUAGAGUCAUUUUUUACACAAGUAUCUAUACUUCUACUUAGUACCAAAUGCGAGUACUUUUGACACCUCUGUCGCCGAAUGAGUGUACUUCGGUGCGCCCUGCAGGCCGCGUCAACUUUUGUUAAAUGGGACAGUCUACCCUUCGCAGCAUUUCCUGGUUGCGUCACCAGAUGUUCCCGCCUCUACUCGGAAGAGGAGAAGCGGUUCUGGUUUAUCUCCGGCUGAGAGGACCGUGGAGAGGUAAACCUGUUAUUGAACCCACAGUAAUGUUAUCAAUAUUAUCAUUAUUAGCUAGCUAACAGUUUGGGGUCAUUAACAUACCGAUACAUUAUGUUAAUGCUGACAUAUAAACUGCUGAUCGCCACUUAGGGUUUUAUUUAAAUUUUAAAGGUAUUAUUCCUAUUUAAAGUGUUUGGUAGAUAGUUUUGUUUGUUGUAAUGAUUUAUUAUUAUUAUAAUUAUAUCAUGAAAUUGCCUCUUUCUUAAAACAUUCUUAAUGACCUGGCAGCCUUGGAUGGAGUCAGAACUGCAGACCCAGUUGAUGGAGGAUGUGGUGGACAGAGGAGACUGGACCCCCAAACACCCUGAGUACCGACCCAGAUGAUGUCCCACUGACACCAUCCAGCCCAGCAGCACUGCAGGGACUCCUGCUCAGCCUGUUACUGUACAUCAUCUGUAACUGUUUUAAAAUUGCUUUUAAUAAUUGUUUUUGUUAAUAGUUAAUAAUAAUCUGUAAAUAGUUAUUUAUGCUGUAAUUUUGUAAAUAGUUGUAAAUGUUAAGACCUUAAUAAUAAAAAAAAACAUCAAUCCCUUGUUGUCCCUGAAAAGUAGCACUUGAUGCUGUUUACUGUCAUAAAUAAUACUUAAGUUGUAAAUACUGAAUGGAAUAGACAACGUGUAACAAUAGAACAAUAUUUUAUUUCAUGAAUUAUUUAAAAUGAACAACUAAUUUAAAAAGAACUCAUAAAUAACUCAGUAACUAACAACAGAAUUAAUGUAAGGAAGAGAAGAGCCUCUCCAUCCUCUCUGCAGCCUCAUGUCCUCCUUCAUCCUCCUCCUCUUCCUCAUCUCUGUUUACUCCCUAAAACACAAUGAAAUGUAAAAGACGUUUUGUGUUAUGUCAACAGACAAAAGGGUUCUAAUACAGAAUAUAUAUAUAUGUAUAUAUAUAUAUAUAUAUAUAUAUAUAUAUAUACAUAUAUAUAUAUAUAUAUAUAUAUAAAAUCAUAAGGAUAAUCAUAAACUUAGCUCUUUAUUCAAACGUUUAACUAGACUUUACAGUGUUACAGUCUGGAAAUAAAGCAGGGAUCACAGCCUGAUCUGAAUCUGUUCAUCUUGGUCCAUUUAUGUAAAACGAGUCUCUAACAGCUCCACAGUCACAAUACGAUAUAAGAUAUAAGUCAACCUCUGAACGUCUUACGUUUGAAAGUGAAGCUUUUAAGGCUUUACUUCCAAAGGCAUCAAGCUGAGGAUUACCAACGUAUUUUACCUUGAAGUUUAACAUAUCUGGCGUUGGAUGUUUAAAGGAGUAAAGUAUAGACCCAAUACUUACAUUUAAAUACGAGAUCUGCGCCACUUGAGGUUAUUUAUUUAUUUCUUCUCUUCGGGUUCGCAAUGAAUCAUGGGAUAUGUGAGACCACAAAGUGUAGUAGCGGUGCACACUCCAAAAACAGGUAAAAGGAGUGCGCAUUUGUGGGGUGCAUUAUGAGAACACUUUGAAUUGGGAC
This 3982-nucleotide long non-coding RNA is filed under the name Sparus aurata (gilthead seabream). RNAcentral's name for it is "lncRNA (ENSSAUG00010016427.1)". The record is from RNAcentral. Lineage: Eukaryota; Metazoa; Chordata; Actinopteri; Spariformes; Sparidae.